AUUGAACGCUGGCGGCAGGCCUAACACAUGCAAGUCGAACGGUAACAGGAAACAGCUUGCUGUUUCGCUGACGAGUGGCGGACGGGUGAGUAAUGUCUGGGAAACUGCCUGAUGGAGGGGGAUAACUACUGGAAACGGUAGCUAAUACCGCAUAACGUCGCAAGACCAAAGAGGGGGACCUUCGGGCCUCUUGCCAUCGGAUGUGCCCAGAUGGGAUUAGCUAGUAGGUGGGGUAACGGCUCACCUAGGCGACGAUCCCUAGCUGGUCUGAGAGGAUGACCAGCCACACUGGAACUGAGACACGGUCCAGACUCCUACGGGAGGCAGCAGUGGGGAAUAUUGCACAAUGGGCGCAAGCCUGAUGCAGCCAUGCCGCGUGCAUGAAGAAGGCCUUCGGGUUGUAAAGUACCUUCAGCGGGGAGGAAGGGAGUAAAGUUAAUACCUUUACUCAUUGACGUUACCCGCAGAAGAAGCACCGGCUAACUCCGUG
Molecule: ribosomal RNA, 490 nt
Filed under: uncultured bacterium
Lineage: Bacteria
Description: partial 16S ribosomal RNA
Rfam family: Bacterial small subunit ribosomal RNA
Source: RNAcentral